CAGUAACAAAAGAGUAAAAUGGAAAAAUCUCCAGGAAAGAUGUUACUGAAGUAAAGACUGGUUGAUUCUUGAAAGUUUGAAUCUUUAAGAGAGACUGAACAUUAUGUUAAAUUAGUGUAGGAGAGUUGACUCUUUGCUUUGUAAAAGCUUGAUUCAAGAGGAUUGAGUGAUGUUGUUUAUUCUUUUGGUGAAGGAUUGAUUUUAGAGGAUGAUUAAUAGAGGUACAAGUGGGACCUAGUAUGUGCAGAUUUUUAGUAGUCAUGUAAUUUAGUUGUCAAACGAGCUGCGCUACUUGACCUGAGUACAGGUGUCCCUUGUGGGUCUUUGUCCAUAGCUUAAAGUCUUGUCCUCGUGAUACCUUAAAAUUUAUGGUAUGUGGCCAAUAUCAAAAUAUAAACAAUUUUUACUUUAAUUCUUGUGAUAAAUGAUGUCUACCAUCAUCUAAUCUUUACAAAUGCACAAUUCGCAUAAAUCAGAAAUAGGCACGAAAGAAGUUAAGCGGCAGCAAUAUGAUUUCAAUCUCCUGAUCAAUCCAAAGAAUCACAUGCUUUAACAUACCCUUUUUUCGGGUUUUUUGGUCAAACAUCGGUUGUCAAUGUCUUUAAAUUAAUAUAAACAAAAGAAAAAUAGUGAAGGGUUGACAUGCGGACAAUCAUUUUUUUAUGUGUUUUGGAUUCAUGUCCAAUAAUAUCACGUGGAGCUAUAAUAUGACAAACUUUGUUGAAAUAUAGAGUACCUCAAAUAAUCCAACAGCAAGCCAGGGACCUGCAACAUCUGAGAGCAAUAAUUUACCGGUGUCAAGGCCAAAAUCAUGUUCAGGUCUUUCUAAGCCCAGUUCGGGUGGCUCAAAAGACAUUAAUUUUGUGGAUCAUACGGGGUUGGUGAAAAAUGAAAGCACCACAGCUGCAAUAACCAAGGCUGAUAAGGAGCUUCUGGCAAAGAACAGAGGCAAUGCUAUGCAACGGUACAAGGAAAAGAAGAAAACCCGGAGAUAUGAUAAGCAUAUACGGUAUGAAUCAAGGAAGGAAAGAGCUGAUACAAGGAAAAGAUUUAAAGGUCGAUUUGUGAAGGCUAGUGAAGCUCCAGUUGGAUAGGCGACUUAAUAUCAAUAAUUCUGUAAUCACAUAUUUCUUGCUUUGCUUGUAUGUAUAACUUCAUAUUGCCAAAUGGUCUUGUUCAAACAAGAUGUGUGAUUUUCCCAAGUGCUCUCUGUGAGGUUGUGCGCAAAUAGUUGCAAUGAUCAUAUGACUCCAUGUUAUGCGACGAUCUUAUCAUGUUAAUGGGUAGGAAGAUGGUUUUGUGUUUCAGAA
Molecule: long non-coding RNA, 1310 nt
Organism: Olea europaea var. sylvestris
Lineage: Eukaryota; Viridiplantae; Streptophyta; Magnoliopsida; Lamiales; Oleaceae
Exons: 2
Source: RefSeq, a predicted model, not a curated record